CCAGGGGGGACGAGGCCACGAUGUGUCUGGCAGAUGUUGCUGUCCUCUGGGGUCCUGGCUCUGCCGGGAGAUGAGAAUAAUGGGUAGGAUUUAGAUCUUCCCUGUCUCUGGUCCACACUCCAGUCCAGUUGGUGGUGGUAAUGCCCUUUAAAGUUGGUUGCCCUCCCCCCAAAAAACACAGAAUGGUUUGAGAGGUAACAUGCCGCUGUGCUGGGGUUGUGUGUGUACGGAGCUCUGUAGUCCAGGGUAUGCCAGGGUAUCGCCUGAUCCAGGACACGGCCGGACUACAGGCCUUAACUCCUCUCGCAACUAAAGUCCAAUUGGAGGGAUGGUGGACAGGGAGCCAGUCCAGGAGCAUGUACAGCACUUGCAAAACAUUCGGCCACCGCCCGCAGAUGAUCCGGCGCACACUGUGUCUUGGUGCCUGUGGUCAGGGGUUGGGAGCAGGCUCCAGCUCCUCAGGGAUGCAGUGCUGAGACUGUCUGGUGGUCGACUAGACCGGAUAGAGUAUUUUAUACGUAUGAAACGGCCAUCCAUUUCCUAACCCUUGUGAAACUAUUUCAACACUGUGAUAAAACUGCCAUUUUGCAUUUUCUAAAACUGCCUCAUCUGGUGAUCUGGCCAGGCUUUAAAGGUUGAGAUCCUUCCCCUCAAGAAACAGAAGGUGGCGUAGUCUAGUCUACUCAGACGGCCCAAUUCUGCUAUUUC
This 708-nucleotide long non-coding RNA is filed under the name Salmo salar (Atlantic salmon). Its description in RNAcentral is "lncRNA (ENSSSAG00000099902.1, ENSSSAG00075018075.1)". The record is from RNAcentral. Lineage: Eukaryota; Metazoa; Chordata; Actinopteri; Salmoniformes; Salmonidae.